CAUUAUACUUCGAGAGUCAACAGCAUGUAGAUGGUGUUUAAGUCUGUGGAUCUGGUUGGCAGCACCAAGCAAGACAGAGUAGAAAGAAAAGGGAUGAGAUCUUAAGACUGAGCUUUCACAUGCUUUAGCAUUUAAAAGUUGCAAGGUGACAGGAGGAACACAAAGAGACUGGAGAAUAAAAGCAGCCAGUUACUCACAUGUAAAUGGAAAUAAUAUUAGGGCCUGCCUCAUGAGG
RNAcentral lists this long non-coding RNA (235 nucleotides) under Homo sapiens (human). RNAcentral's name for it is "HSALNT0028217". Lineage: Eukaryota; Metazoa; Chordata; Mammalia; Primates; Hominidae. The record is from RNAcentral.